This 510-nucleotide ribosomal RNA is filed under the name uncultured bacterium. RNAcentral's name for it is "partial 16S ribosomal RNA". It matches the Rfam family "Bacterial small subunit ribosomal RNA", at positions 28 to 507 of the family's 1533-position model. The record is from RNAcentral.
GACGAACGCUGGCGGUGUGCUUAACACAUGCAAGUCGAACGAAGAGCGAUGAAAGCUUGCUUCUAUCAAUCUUAGUGGCGCACGGGUGAGUGACGCGCAAUCAACUUGCCUUUCAGAGGGGGACAAAAGUUGGAAACGACUGCUAAUACCGCCUACGAACUUAUCUCGGAAUCGAGGAGAGAUGAAAGCUGGCCUCGACAUGUUAGCUAUCUCUGGAGGAGGGGAUUGCGUCUGAUUAGCUAGUUGGAGGGGUAACGGCCCACCAAGGCGAUGAUCAGUAGCCUGUCUGAGAGGAUGAACGGCCACAUUGGGACUGAGACACGGCCCAGACUCCUACGGGAGGCAGCAGUGGGGAAUCUUCCGCAAUGGACGAAAGUCUGACGGAGCAACGCCGCGUGAGUGAUGACGGCCUUCGGGUUGUAAAGCUCUGUUAAUCGGGACGAAAGGCCUUCUUGCGAAUAGUGAGAAGGAUUGACGGUACCGGAAUAGAAAGCCACGGCUAACUACGUG